CAGGCCUAACACAUGCAAGUCGAACGCUCUCUUCGGNGAGAGUGGCAGACGGGUGAGUAACGCGUGGGAACGUACCUUUUGGUUCGGAACAACUGAGGGAAACUUCAGCUAAUACCGGAUGAGCCCUUCGGGGGAAAGAUUUAUCGCCAUUGGAGCGGCCCGCGUUGGAUUAGGUAGUUGGUGGGGUAACGGCCCACCAAGCCGACGAUCCAUAGCUGGUCUGAGAGGAUGAUCAGCCACACUGGGACUGAGACACGGCCCAGACUCCUACGGGAGGCAGCAGUGGGGAAUCUUGCGCAAUGGGCGAAAGCUGACGCAGCCAUGCCGCGUGUAUGAUGAAGGUCUUAGGAUUGUAAAAUACUUUCACCGGGGAAGAUAAUGACGGUACCCGGAGAAGAAGCCCCGGCUAACUUCGUGCCAGCAGCCGCGGUAAU
This 434-nucleotide ribosomal RNA is filed under the name uncultured Alphaproteobacteria bacterium. Its description in RNAcentral is "bacterial SSU rRNA". It matches the Rfam family "Bacterial small subunit ribosomal RNA", at positions 43 to 524 of the family's 1533-position model. The record is from RNAcentral. Lineage: Bacteria; Pseudomonadati; Pseudomonadota; Alphaproteobacteria.